Molecule: ribosomal RNA, 587 nt
Filed under: uncultured bacterium
Lineage: Bacteria
Description: bacterial SSU rRNA
Rfam family: Bacterial small subunit ribosomal RNA
Source: RNAcentral
CCUACGGGAGGCAGCAGUGGGGAAUAUUGGACAAUGGGCGAAAGCCUGAUCCAGCAAUGCCGCGUGAGUGAUGAAGGCCUUCGGGUCGUAAAGCUCUUUUACCAGGGAUGAUAAUGACAGUACCUGGAGAAUAAGCUCCGGCUAACUCCGUGCCAGCAGCCGCGGUAAUACGGAGGGAGCUAGCGUUGUUCGGAAUUACUGGGCGUAAAGAGUACGUAGGCGGUUAUUCAAGUCAGAGGUGAAAGCCCGGGGCUCAACCCCGGAACUGCCUUUGAAACUAGAUAACUAGAGUCUUGGAGAGGUUAGUGGAAUUCCGAGUGUAGAGGUGAAAUUCGUAGAUAUUCGGAAGAACACCAGUGGCGAAGGCGACUAACUGGACAAGUACUGACGCUGAGGUACGAAAGCGUGGGGAGCAAACAGGAUUAGAUACCCUGGUAGUCCACGCCGUAAACGAUGAUAACUAGUUGUUCGGUCACUUGGUGACUGAGUGACGCAGCUAACGCAUUAAGUUAUCCGCCUGGGGNGUACGUCGCAGAUAACUACAAGAAGUAGACGCGNGAGACGNGCGACGACGACACGAGGAGAGG